This 662-nucleotide ribosomal RNA is filed under the name uncultured bacterium. RNAcentral describes it as "bacterial SSU rRNA". It matches the Rfam family "Bacterial small subunit ribosomal RNA", at positions 152 to 812 of the family's 1533-position model. The record is from RNAcentral.
AGAAAUCGGGAUUAAUACUCCAUAACACUGCGAAGUGGCAUCACUAAGCAGUUAAAACUCCGGUGGUUAAAGAUGGGCAUGCGUGACAUUAGUUAGUUGGUGAGGUAACGGCUCACCAAGACGACGAUGUCUAGGGGUUCUGAGAGGAUGACCCCCCACACUGGUACUGAGACACGGACCAGACUCCUACGGGAGGCAGCAGUAAGGAAUAUUGGUCAAUGGGCGAAAGCCUGAACCAGCCAUGCCGCGUGCAGGAAGACAGCCUUAUGGGUUGUAAACUGCUUUUAUACAGGAAUAAACCCCCUUUCGUGAAAGGGGCUGAAGGUACUGUAAGAAUAAGGACCGGCUAACUCCGUGCCAGCAGCCGCGGUAAUACGGAGGGUCCGAGCGUUAUCCGGAUUUAUUGGGUUUAAAGGGUGCGUAGGCGGACCUAUUAGUCAGUGGUGAAAUCCCGGGGCUCAACUCCGGAACUGCCAUUGAUACUGUAGGUCUUGAGUUUGGUUGAAGUGGGCGGAAUGUAGCAUGUAGCGGUGAAAUGCAUAGAUAUGCUACAGAACACCGAUCGCGAAGGCAGCUCACUAAACCAAAACUGACGCUCAGGCACGAAAGCGUGGGUAGCGAACAGGAUUAGAUACCCUGGUAGUCCACGCCGUAAACGAUGA